CCACGGCUUUGGGAGUUUUAGGUGCUCUGGAGUGUAAUGUGAUCCCCUGGAUGUGCCAGAAAAGGAGAAUUUCCUCUUGCAGAGGCUCCAGCUGUUUCCUGCCCUGUUCCUUUGCAGCAGGACAACACACUGUGCUCCUGAAACAAGUCAGUCAGGCCGAGCCAAACCUCAUCAUGCAGCUGGAAUUCAGCUGGAGCCCGGGGCCAAGCCAGAGGAGAGCCAGACCCUGCAAUAUCUGAGAGGGGCUCAGGACAGCCAGCCCAGGCUCCAGCUCAGGGGUUUGGGGUUUCUCAGGGGUUUUUCAGCUGUUCCCUGACACAGGAGGCUGUGCCAAGCAAUAUUUGCCAUCACACCCUCAAUACCAGUGGAAUUUAAGCUGCACUCAUGUGCUGUGCAGGAUUUUUGGAGAUUGACCUUUCCCACUUCUCACUCCCUGGUAAGAGCUUCUCCUGCAGCUGUCAGGGAGGGGAGGAUUUGGCUGGGCUGUCCCUGGGCAUGCACAGGAGCUGCUGCUGCAGAACCAGCAGGACUCAUCCCACCUCCUCCUCCUCUGCUCCCAGGAGACACAGCAGCCACAGCUCCUCAGAACCUUGAACUGCAAAUGCAAAUCCCCACCAAAAACUGCAUUUCCAUGCUGCAUCUUUCAUCUUUUAUGUAAUUCUCAGCUUCUGUCCCCCCUAAGAAACUCCUGGGCUUUUCCAUGCACUAACAGCAGAGAAAAUCAAGGCGACAAUAAAGGAAAAGAUUUGAUGUCUCUAAAAAGACAGUGGGAAAAGAGUCACCAGUUCUCCUCUUCUCAAAGUCUUAAAAAACCAGAACCUUGGCUUGGAAAAAUCCAGUAAAACACGGAGAAUGUUUCUACAAACUUGGUGCUGUUGCCUCACUGGAGUGCUCCAGACAUCAGUGCCAGGGGUUAUGGAGCUCAGCCAUUGAUUCCCUGGCUCUGGGUGCAGCAGAUCCCAGAGCAUCCCCUCCCUGGGGCACAGGGGGUGCUGGAGCCUCCCCCCUUCCCUGGGGGAUCCUGACAGAGCAGGACCUGCAGAUUCACGUUCUUUAGGAGAGCUGGGAAGAGGAGACUCUCACGGCUGGAAGAUGAAAAACGUGUGUGAUGAAUUGUCUGCUCGGUGCAGGGAAGCACAGCACACUCUGAAGUGACACCUGGGAGCACAGAGGUGCCAUUUGGUGGCAGUGACCCAGAAGACAAGCGCUGUUUCCUCCGUGGGACCAGGAGGUGUGAAGUAAAACAUCAUUUCUGUGUUUGCAGCAACAACAAAAAAUCCUUGGCUAGGGAUUUGUGUCGUCCUUCUCUCACCUUCCCCCUGAUUUUAAAUUACCCCUGAUUGUACAACAGCUGCUCCCUUCACGCCUGCAUAUGGCUGCCUCCUUAAAUCUGCAUUUCUGUCGAGGGGCUGCAUACAAAUACCCAGCUGAAAGUUUGCUUUCAAAGGUCUGAUUAACCAACUUACUGUGGCAAAGAAAAAUGAGUAUUGACAUGACUGGAGGAGCUGCCAGGGAGGGGAAGGGGGAUGGAGAGGAAUGGUAAUGACAAGUGUCAGGCAGGGACACUGCCAGGGCCCCGGGAUGGAGCAAUCCCAGAUCAAACCCCACAUCUCCAGACAGCAGCCUGUGUUCCAUUCUUGAACUCAAAAAAUAAAACCUUCAAAAAAGAAAACCUUCAAAAAAUAAAACCUUCAAAAAAUAAAACCCUCAAAAAAUAAAACCUUCAAAAAAUAAAACCUUCAAAAAAUAAAACCCUCAAAAAAAAACCCUCAAAAAAUAAAACACUCACAGAUGUGAAAUUCGCAAAACAUGAGAGGAAUGUUAUUUUUUUUUGAAGGCAUGUGAGAAAAAUUCCUCCACUUGACAUGCUCAGAAUGUCUCCUCACCAGGCAUUUGCUACCCAAAAUACUCAGCAAAGAUUUCCAGCAAAGCUCUGGGUUGGGAGUGUGUAGGAUGGCAAGAUAAAGGAGUGUCUGCCUGUGAGCUCUCGUUGGUAAAGUUAUCUCUCUUUUGAUUUUAAACCUUAAAAAAUAACCAUAUAAAAGCACAGAACUGUCCUCUGAUCAUCUAAAUCUGUUUCUAAUCUGCUAUACAGCUUUCUCUGCUGUCUCUACAGGAUGGAUUAGCUUUUAGUUUAUGGUAGAGGAAAAGCAUCCCUGUGUGUAUGGGAGAUGGAGGCCAAAUUCCAAGGGUUAAACCACAGAAUUUUGGAUUCCUUGCUGACUUCUCUUGUACCCAGGGGCUGGUAAUUAACCUCUCAGUGCCUUGACCUCCAAUGUGACUGAGUAUUUUGGUUAUUUUAUUAUUAUAUUUCAUAAUUCCCAGCCCAAACCCUUAUUUUCAGCCGCUCAGGUGGCACCGGCUGAGCGAUGCCACCUCUGCAGGGGACAGAUUUGGGCACUGCCAACAACCCCUGGUGCCACCCCUGAGCCUCCCCGUGCCCAGCUCUGCCCGGGGGACGAUGACAUCCAGCGCAAGGGCACGGCACGAACACAUUUAUUCAUUUAUCCCCCAACCCCCCGGCUCUCCACCUCCGCUCCCCAGCUGAGCCUUUCUGGAACAGCCUCUAUAUUUGUCUGCUGCUUCCCUGAACACCCAUUAUUAUGUGGGAUAAUAAUGCAGGAGCCGUGCUCGGCACCUCUGCUCGGUGGCUGGAUGGUCGCCGGCGGCGGGGGGUGAUAAAUGUGGCGUGAGAUGCCUUUUCCACAGCGAACUGCAAAUUGCCUCGGCAGCACGGCCCACAAAGGGGGCCUGCCGAGCACAUUUAUCUCCCAUUGUCGGCCCGAGGAGGCAAAGGGAGAGGAGCAGGCAUCCUAUUUUUAAAAAGUCACAUUUGAUCUCGCUCGGGCUCCGAGUCCGGAGUAUUUUAAAGGAAAGCGCGGCGCCGAGGACGCGGCGCGGAUAAAGGGAUUUAUUUUUAACUGCAGCCAGGGUUCACGACCAUGGGAGCAUUUCAAUUUUAAGCCACUCAGUUUGAAUAAUAUAUUUCAGCAAAGCGAGUGUUAUGUCAUCUAAUAACUCCUGGGUGGGAGGAGAGGAGCAGGGAGAGAUCUCCUUCCCAGGAACUGCCAGCACUUCCCACGGCAGGAGCAGCGAGCAGAGAUUUGGGGUUUUGCUCAGCUCAGGCCUCAGAGAACAGCGAGAUGGACAUUGCAGGGAGCAGAGUGAUGGAUCUGAACUGGGAAAUUUGGUGAUGGAUCUGUGCUGGGAGCCUCGGGUGAUGGAUCUGUGCUGGG
Molecule: long non-coding RNA, 3236 nt
Organism: Oenanthe melanoleuca
Lineage: Eukaryota; Metazoa; Chordata; Aves; Passeriformes; Muscicapidae
Exons: 3
Source: RefSeq, a predicted model, not a curated record